Molecule: long non-coding RNA, 470 nt
Filed under: Parus major (Great Tit)
Lineage: Eukaryota; Metazoa; Chordata; Aves; Passeriformes; Paridae
Description: lncRNA (ENSPMJG00000004625.1)
Source: RNAcentral
GGGCCAGGCUCUCGGUGGCCACGGUGGCCACCAGGCCCGGCCGGUGCAGGUGGAGCUGCAGGGCCGGGCCGGACGCUGCGAGCGGCGACGCCUGAGGGGCUUCGGCCACGGCCGGACGGGGCCUGGGGACACCCGGGGUGGCCUUGGGGACAUCUGGGGACACCUCAGGUGGCCUUGGGGACAUCUGGGGGGACAUCUGGGACAUCUGGGGUGGCCUUGGGGACACCUGAGGUGGCCUUGGGGACAUCUGGGGUGGCCUUGGGGACAUCUGGGACUUCUGAGAGGACCUUGGGGACAUCUGAGGUGGCUUUGGGGACAUCUGGGGACACCAGGGGUGGCCUUGGGGACAUCUGGGACUUCUGAGAGGGCAUUGGGGACAUCUGGGGUGGCCUUGGGGACACCUCAGGUGGCCUUGGGGACAUCUGGGACUUCUGAGGGGACCUUGGUGACAUCUGGGGUGGCCUUGGGGA